Long non-coding RNA from Mesocricetus auratus (golden hamster), 1264 nucleotides. RefSeq lists it as uncharacterized. The record is from RefSeq and is a predicted model, not a curated record. Lineage: Eukaryota; Metazoa; Chordata; Mammalia; Rodentia; Cricetidae. The transcript is spliced from 3 exons.
GUAAGCAGAGAAGAAUGAAUGUUCAUAUGCAGUUCUCUUUUAUUCAGGCUAAUAUCCCAGCCCAUAAUAUGGUACCAUCCACAUUCAGUUUUUGAUGCGUUGAUCAAGUUACUUUAGCACUCUUCACAUGCAUCUUCAUUUGUAAGGUGCUAUCAGACUGAAGGCAUGUCUACCUUGGUGACAACAGAGCCAUGUUCCAGGUCUUGAGGGAGCAUGUCGUUUCCAAGUCAGAGAACAAGAAGAUGGUUCCACAGAAGGGAAGGAUGAGUGGGAAAGAGAAAAGCUGAAGUGAACUGCAUGCUCUUCAUAGUUCAGUGAUGCUUCGGCCAUGUUUUUAUCAGUCUGGUCUGUUCAAACCCUUACAGAAGAUGACAUCACAGAGAAACUUUAAGAUCAAAAUAAGCUUACUAUGCUUUAAAUCAGAUUUGGGAGGUGUAUUUUUAAAACUUGAUCAUGUAUAUCUUUUCGUUAUCAUCUAUUUCUGUCUAUUCCUUCAGUAUGAGCACUUUGUUUCCUGAGUAAUUUGUUUUUCAUUUCUGUGUUUGUAUAUCAAUUGAGAUAAUAUGGGCAUGACUUCUCAUACUGACAAAGAUAUUACCGGUUCCUGGUCAUUUUCUGUUUGUUUUUCAUGUUUCAUCCAUUUCCCACAGAAAGAUAGUAACAUCUAAAUCAUUCAUUAAUUUAAGCUGCAAACUACAUUGUUGCUUUUUGAUGAAAAUUAUCUCUGGACUCUGGCUUCAUCAUUAAGAGGAAUAAAGUAGGUAGGGGAGUUUCUUGCUAAUAGCUAGUAAAGCUAAAAUUUAUUUGUGCAAAAUGAUUUGGGGCCAGAGUAGAUCUUAAGAGUAAGAUAGCUAUUGCCUGUCCUGGGUCUUAAACAAGAACAUUGGUAGUUAACUUACCAGGAACGGAACAAAUGGCUGGUCAGCAUUACCCUGAUUUUGGACAUUUAAAGCUUGGUACAUCUUGUUUGUUGAACAGAGGGACCACUUAACUCUAAUAGCUGUUUUCAGGGUCAAAUUUAUUUUAAACUUUCAGCCAUAAAAAAAUACUGGAAACAAAUGCUCUCAAAGCAAGGGUAUUCUAAUGUGAACAGGAUAAGAAAUGAGGUGUUCAUUAGACUCGGGCCGCUAGGCAACCAGAAUGUUGAGCCCAGUAUGAAGAGUUCCUGACAGAUGGUAUUAGAGAGACUUGCCACUAUCUGACUAAACCUCCAUGAGUUCUUCAGGAAGUGAAGCUCUUGACAUAUUUUAAUAUCAAAUAUUUG